AGAGUUUGAUCAUGGCUCAGAACGAACGUUGGCGGCGUGCUUAACACAUGCAAGUCGAACGAGAAAGUUUUCUUCGGAGAACGAGUACAGUGGCGCACGGGUGAGUAACGCGUAAGUAAUCUACCUUGGCAUCUGGAAUAACUACGGGAAGCUGUAGCUAAUACCGGAUACGUUUAUAGAGUUACGACUCUAUACAGAAAGAUGACCUCUUCUUGAAAGUUAUCGUGCUAAGAGGAGCUUGCGUACCAUUAGCUAGUUGGUAGGGUAAUGGCCUACCAAGGCAACGAUGGUUAGCGGGUCUGAGAGGAUGAUCCGCCACACUGGAACUGGAACACGGACCAGACUCCUACGGGAGGCAGCAGUGAGGAAUAUUGCGCAAUGGGGGAAACCCUGACGCAGCGACGCCGCGUGGAUGAUGAAGGCCUUAGGGUCGUAAAAUCCUGUCAGAUGGGAAGAAAUGUAUGUAGGAAUAAUACCCUAUGUGCUUGACGGUACCAUCAAAG
This 503-nucleotide ribosomal RNA is filed under the name uncultured bacterium. RNAcentral's name for it is "bacterial SSU rRNA". It matches the Rfam family "Bacterial small subunit ribosomal RNA", at positions 8 to 486 of the family's 1533-position model. The record is from RNAcentral.